This 421-nucleotide ribosomal RNA is filed under the name uncultured bacterium. RNAcentral's name for it is "partial 16S ribosomal RNA". It matches the Rfam family "Bacterial small subunit ribosomal RNA", at positions 359 to 773 of the family's 1533-position model. The record is from RNAcentral.
CAUUUUGGACAAUGGGGCCAACCCUGCUCCAGCCAUCCCGCGUCUGCGAUGACGGCCUUCGGGCCGUAAAGCCCUUUUGCCAGGGAAGAAAAGGCUCUGGCCAAUACCUCGAGCUGCUGACGGUACCUGCAGACCAAGCACCGGCUACCUACGUGCCCGCCGCCGCGGUAAUACGUAGGGUGCAAGCGUUAAUCGGAAUUACUGGGCGUAAAGCGUGCGCAGGCGGUUCGGCAAGAAGGAUGUGAAAUCCCGGGGCUUAACCUUGGAACUGCAUUCUUAACUGCCGGGCUAGAGUAUGUCAGAGGGGGGUAGAAUUCCGCGUGUAGCAGUGAAAUGCGUAGAGAUGCGGAGGAAUACCGAUGGCGAAGGCAGCCCCCUGGGAUAAUACUGACGCUCAUGCACGAAAGCGUGGGGAGCAAAC